This 71-nucleotide transfer RNA is filed under the name Camelus bactrianus (Bactrian camel). It matches the Rfam family "tRNA". Rfam says of the family: Transfer RNA (tRNA) molecules are approximately 80 nucleotides in length. Their secondary structure includes four short double-helical elements and three loops (D, anti-codon, and T loops). Further hydrogen bonds mediate the characteristic L-shaped molecular structure. tRNAs have two regions of fundamental functional importance: the anti-codon, which is responsible for specific mRNA codon recognition, and the 3' end, to which the tRNAs corresponding amino acid is attached (by aminoacyl-tRNA synthetases). tRNAs cope with the degeneracy of the genetic code in two manners: having more than one tRNA (with a specific anti-codon) for a particular amino acid; and 'wobble' base-pairing, i.e. permitting non-standard base-pairing at the 3rd anti-codon position. RNAcentral also lists the same sequence under 2 other names. Lineage: Eukaryota; Metazoa; Chordata; Mammalia; Artiodactyla; Camelidae. The record is from Rfam by way of RNAcentral.
GAGUGUAUAGCUCAGUGGUAGAGCGCAUGCUUAGCAUGCAUGAGGUCCUGCUUCAAUCCCCAGUACCUCCA